This 137-nucleotide ribosomal RNA is filed under the name uncultured bacterium. Its description in RNAcentral is "partial 16S ribosomal RNA". It matches the Rfam family "Bacterial small subunit ribosomal RNA", at positions 355 to 509 of the family's 1533-position model. The record is from RNAcentral.
UGGGGGAUAUUGCACAAUGGGGGAAACCCUGAUGCAGCGACACCGCGUGGGUGAGGAAGCGCUUCGGCGUGUAAAGCCCUAUCAGUGGGGAAGAAAAGGACGGUACCCAAAGAAGAAGCACCGGCUAAAUACGUGCC